CUGGAGGCAUAGGCUGACUCCAAGCCCUGUCUAAUGACAGAAAACAGUACAAACGCGUUACUACUGCAAAGCCUUGCGUAUACUUGCCAGCUAAAAAUCUGCAUUGUCUGUGGCUGCUUAGGCAGCACCCGGGGUUUGCUAUUUAGCGCCAGAAACAGUGGAGUAGAGAAAUACUAGUGAGUUGCAACGGGACGGACAUGUUUAAAGAAGCCUCACUCUACGCAUUAUGACGUUUGUAGUCACACAUGCCGGUGUGUGCCCGUAAUGGAUGCUUGUGUAGGGAAGUCUCCAUCUAUCUGAUACACAAAUAUGAUGAAGAAGGAGAAAAAAGUGAGGCGAUUCCAGGCCCUUGUUUUAAUUCUCCAGAAUAAAGGGAUGUCUCCCUUUUCACUGUGCAGGUCUUCAUUUCUCCUUUCUGGAUUAAUCACUUCCCACCUCAGCCAACAACUGCAAACACUGAUGCUUCCC
Molecule: long non-coding RNA, 468 nt
Filed under: Vombatus ursinus (common wombat)
Lineage: Eukaryota; Metazoa; Chordata; Mammalia; Diprotodontia; Vombatidae
Description: lncRNA (ENSVURG00010021529.1)
Source: RNAcentral